UUCACCUCCACAGAUACCAAAUAGGUUAUUGUAUAGUACGAUACAACAGAGGAAAAGAAACGGGGAAAUACUCUAUUACGAAAUAUUUAAAUGGAAAAUGAAACAUGCUCCAAGUGAAGUUCAUCGCUUUUGCGACGUUUCAGAGGACGAGCAAGUGAGGAGAGUUUUAAAUUCCUGGAUAAGAGAUGUGGAUGACAGGAGUUCAUGCCAGGCACUGCAGAUCCUGUUUUCUUUUUCUGUUCCUUACCAGCAAGCACUUGACCAUAUCUUGAGCUUAAAAGUUCCCAUUAUCUCUGCAGGUGCAGUGAGUAUUACUGUUCAAUGGGUAACACGACUUCAACAUUUACUAAUAUUUUUAUCAUAUAAGAUACCUAACCUUCCUCUAUUUUGCAAGUUAGUGUAUGCAUUGCCAAGUUCUGGUGACUUGUCGCAACUGUGAGUUGGGUUAGUCAUUUCAGGAAGCCACCAAAAAAUUCUGGAAAUUGUAAGGUGUUUCUAGAAAAGGCCAUUUAUUUCCACUUUCAAUGUCACAGGUUCCCGGAGGAAGGGGGUCAAAUGAGGCUAAAUCAUCAGAUCCAAAAUGGUCCUAACAGGGAAAUGGAUACUGGGAGUUUCUUCUUAGGGAGCGAGGUGCAGACAUCAUAGCAUUUGAUCAGAACACAGUGUAUCCAAAAGCCAUGAGAUACAUAGACAUAACGGAAGGUAGCCCAAGCAUUUUACAUGAUCAUGAAGACAGGGCUUUAUUACUUAGCUGGCCCGAUCAUGAAGAGGACUGUUCUUUUUCUCUGGAUUGCCUGAAGAAUUAUAAAGGAGGUACUAUCAUUCACAUCGGUGAACUGUUCGGCGAAACUCUCUCGGCCAAUCCCUGGGGACAAACUACAUCGCGUGCCUUUCAGCUGGAACUUGGAGAACGUUUCCGCUGCGUGUCACGUGUCCAGCUACCAAACUGGCCUGGUCAUAUGGACUCACUGACCGUUUGGUCACGUGCUUCACAGCCCGUAGAGUGCGAUGGGGCUGAAAUGGUGUUUGUCCGUUUGGAGAACCCAAGAUAUCUUGGAUGGAAUGUCACGUAAUUCAAUAGGACUGCGUACGCUUAGAAUAUUGUGCUUUACCUCUCUUAAUUUAUUAUCUGAGAAAGACAUUCCAAUGGGCAAAACCUUCCGGCUCGAAAUGCGGAAGAUUUUAUGCCUACAGUAUUUCACAAAUCGAUCGCGUGGUACAAAAUUCACAAGAAUGAGGACAUGUAAGAAAGAAAAGUCAACUUCACUGAUUGAAGUAACUUUGCUUUGAAUCUUUGGAGGCUGAACACUCUUUGGGCAGUAUUAAAUCUUUCAUGAUAGUAAUCAAGAUACAAUUAUAGAAACAUCACAAAGCAAAACUCCUACAUGAUCUGUUAUUUUAUUUUCUGUAUUAAAGACUACGGAAUAAACCAUCAUACUA
Molecule: unclassified non-coding RNA, 1440 nt
Organism: Orbicella faveolata
Lineage: Eukaryota; Metazoa; Cnidaria; Anthozoa; Scleractinia; Merulinidae
Source: RefSeq, a predicted model, not a curated record